Acinonyx jubatus (cheetah) is the source of this 5452-nucleotide RNA transcript. It is a transcript of the gene named pleckstrin homology and RUN domain containing M1, with no coding region annotated. The transcript is spliced from 11 exons. The record is from RefSeq and is a predicted model, not a curated record. NCBI's taxonomy places the organism in Eukaryota, Metazoa, Chordata, Mammalia, Carnivora, Felidae.
GCUGCAGUGUGAGCGGAAAUGCUCUCAGGUGGGUGGAGAAAUGGACUGGACCCCCGGGCUGCCAUCCCGGUCAUCAAGAAGAAGCUAGUGGGAUCUGUGAAGGCGUUGCAGAAGCAGUACGUGUCCUCGGACACAGUGGUCACUAGCGAAGACGGAGAUGCCAACACCAUGUGCAGUGCCCUGGAGGCUGUAUUUAUCCACGGCCUGCAUGCCAAGCACAUCCGAGCCGAGGCCGGAGGGAAAAGGAAGAAGAGCGCCCACCAGAAGCCUCUGCCUCAGCCUGUCUUCUGGCCCCUCCUGAAAGCUGUCACCCACAAACACAUCGUCUCGGAAUUGGAGCACCUGAUCUUUGUCAGCACGGACGUGGGCCGCUGCCGGGCCUGGCUGAGGCUGGCCCUCAAUGACGGCCUGAUGGAGUGCUACCUGAAGCUGCUCCUCCAGGAGCCCGCCCGCCUGUGCGAGUACUAUCAGCCCACAGCCCUGCUUCGAGACGCCGAGGAGGGCGAGUUCCUCCUCAGCUUCCUGCAGGGACUGACGUCCUUAUCCUUCGAGCUCUCCUACAAGUCCGCCAUCUUAAACGAGUGGACGCUUACCCCACUGGCUCUCUCUGGGCUUUGCCCGCUCUCUGAGCUCGACCCCCUCACCACCUCUGGGACAGAACUACAGCGGAAAGAGUCUCUGGAUUCAAUUUCCCAUUCCUCAGGCUCGGAGGACAUCGAAGUCCAGCACUCAGGCCAUAAGAUCCGACGGAACCGGAAGCUCACGGCCUCCUCCCUCAGCCUGGACACCGCCAGUUCAUCCCAGCUGUCUUGCAGCCUAAACUCUGAUAGCUGCCUACUCCAAGAGAAUGGCUCCAAGAGUCCAGACCGUUCCGAGGAGCCCAUGUCCUCCGACUCCGACCUGGGGACAGCAAAUGCCGAUGACUCAGACCCGUCUCUGCAAGAGGUGUUGUCGGAAUUCAGCAAAGCCCAGGUAAACUCUGUGCCAACCAACGGACUGAGCGGACUGAGUGGAGAAAUGGAGAUUCCCACGGGGCGGGCCUCACUCCCCCUCCCCGGCCUGGAGGCCAGCAUCCCUUUUGAUGUGCCCGCAGGGCCCCUCCCGCCCCAAGCAUCCUCUGGGACUCAAGAUGGGGACCGCAAGCAGGAGCCGCCUCCCCAGGCACCUGGCACCCUGGGCUUGCUGCAGUUGGGCACUGCCAAAGCUGUCCCCUCGGUGAGCAUUUUAGACCAGAGGCCUUCCAGUCCCGUGGGAGAGGCGGCGGCCAGGGCAGUCAGCCCGGGGAGCGGCCAGCAGAAGUCUCUGGAGGAUGACGGAGCUGCACGGAGCCUUGGGGUGUCCUCACCCACCAGCCCGAAGAGCAGGAGCUGGAUUUCAGAGGAUGACUUCUACCGGCCUCCCCAGGAGCCGCCCGCAGAGAGCCCUUCAGAACACUCCGUGGCUUCUUCCGGAGGGACUCCGGAGUCCAGGCCUGGGCUCCUCCGGCACUUUUCUCAAGGGCCAAGGAAAAGCCACUCCACGGGGGCCUUAGACCAAGCCUGCGUGCCUUCCCCAGGAGGCCGGCCAAGCAGGGCAGCGGCGGCCCAGGAGCACCAGAACUUCAGGGUGGUGCACCGCAGGCAGAUGGGGCUGUCCAACCCGUUCCGGGGUCUCAUGAAGCUGGGCACCGUGGAGCGGCGGGGGGCGAUGGGCAUCUGGAAGGAACUCUUCUGCGAGCUCUCCCCUCUGGAGUUCCGCCUCUGCCUGAACACCGAGGAACGCACCUGCGUGGAGAACUGCUCCCUGCUGCGCUGCGAGGCCGUGGGGCCAGCCCACGGCGACGGCCGCUUCGAGCUGGUCUUCUCUGGCAGGAAGCUGGCCCUGCGGGCCUCCUCCCAGGACGAAGCCGAGGACUGGCUGGACCGGGUGCGGGAGGCCCUACAGAAGUGCCGGCCCCAGCAGGAGGAUGAGUGGGUGAACAUCCAGUACCCGGAGCAGCCCGAGGACCCCCCAGACGCCCCCCGGGGUGGCCUCCCCUCCCACCCGGACCCACCCACUGAGCCCGAGACUCUCCAGGGCACGCAGUUCUGUUGGUCCUCCGCCCAAGUUCCCGAGCCAGACGCUAUUAAAGAAUCCCUUCUGUACCUGUACACGGACAGGACCUGGAUGCCCUAUAUUUUUUCCCUAUCCUUGGAGUCUCUGAAGUGCUUCCGAGUGAGAAACAGCGAGAAAAUGUUAAGUGACAGCCACGGAGUCGAGACCAUCCGAGACAUCCUGCCAGACACGAGCCUCGGGGGCCCAUCCUUCUUCAAAAUCAUCACGGCCAAGGCCGUCCUGAAGCUGCAGGCCGGGAAUGCUGAGGAGGCCGCCCGGUGGAGGGAGCUGGUGCGCAAGGUCCUGGCGUCCUACUUGGAGACGGCCGAGGAGGCGGUGACACUGGGCGGGAGUCUGGACGAAAACUGUCAGGAGGUGCUGAAGUUCGCCACGCGGGAGAACGGCUUCCUGCUGCGGUACCUCGUGGCCAUCCCCACGGAGAAAGGCCUCGACUCCCAGGGCUGCUUCUGUGCAGGCUGCUCCCGGCAGAUUGGCUUCUCGUUUGUACGACCCAAGCUUUGUGCCUUCUCUGGCCUCUAUUACUGCGACAUCUGCCACCAGGACGAUGGCUCGGUGAUUCCGGCCAGGAUCAUCCACAACUGGGACCUCACCAAGCGCCCGAUCUGCCGGCAGGCUCUGAAGUUCCUGACGCAGAUCCGGGCCCAGCCCCUCAUCAACCUGCAGCUGGUGAAUGCCUCGCUGUACGAGCAUGUGGAGCAGAUGCGCCUCGUCCGGAGGAGACGGGAGCAGCUGAAGCUUCUGGGGGAUUACCUGGGCCUGUGCCGAAGUGGGGCCCUGAAGGAGCUGAGCAAGAGGCUCAACCACAGGAAUUACCUCUUGGAGUCUCCCCACAAGUACAGUGUCGCUGACCUCCAGCAGGCCUGGCGGCCUGACCUUGCCCUCCACAGAUCGCGGACGGGGUGUACGAAGGGUUCCUCGAUGCCCUGAUCGGAUUCGCCUCCCAGCACGUCUACCACUGCGACCUGUGCACCCAGCGUGGCUUCAUCUGCCAGAUCUGCCACCACCAUGACAUCAUCUUCCCCUUUGAGUUUGACACCACCGUCAGGUGCGGCGAGUGCAAGACCGUCUUCCACCAGAGCUGCCAGGCCGUGGUGAAGGGGGGCUGUCCCCGCUGUGCCCGCCGGCGCAAGUACCAAGAAAGGAGCGCUCUCCUCUAAGCCACUGCACCGUCCCCGGCCCGAGACUGCGGAGCAGCGGCUCGCUGGCAGCCCGGCCGCCUGUGGCAUCAGCCUGCAUACUCUCGAGGUGUCCCAGCCGUGUCCCCUGCCGGGAGGACACAGAUGCGACCGGAGCACGAGCCUACCAGACGAAGCCCUCGAGGAUGUCCCCCAGUCCCUCUACCACCCGUCUGCUCCACAAGGUGGGGACGCCAUCAGAUGCCCCCCCCGUCCCAGGGGAAGCGGGGAGGGGAGCUUUGCACUAACCAGGCCCCAGCUCACCUCACAGACACGGCACCUCCAUCAGGGCUCUUCAAACACUGUGGAAACCACACUUGGGCACGUGCUCAGUUCCACAUUCCGGAUUCAAAAAAGGUCUAGUUUUUUAAGGUGGGUUUUUUCCCUUCAUAUUUCAAUAGAAAAUAUUUUUUUAUUCUUGACCCUACACAAGUCACCCGAGAAAUCCAGACAUUCUCACGCGGAGCAAACACGUGGGAACAUUUGGCCUGUGGGCCAAAGGCGGGUGGCUCGGCGGGCAGGCCGCCGCUGGGCCAGAACUGUCAGCUCUACGGGUGCCUUUCCUUCACUCGCGCCUGACACUGCUGCCCACGGCUCAAAUACGACGUGCCAAACCGCCCAGGGGCUGUCGGGGUCGGUCCGAUUACCACCCUCUUCCUCUCCCUCGCCUCUUUUCGCCCUACCCUGCCCUCCUCACCUGAAAAGCCCGUCACCUCUCUCCGCGUCAGAGCCCCCUGGCUCCGCCGUAGCCCAGGCUCUCAGUCCCUGCGGGAGAAGGGAGGGACUCGGAACCAGCACUGUGAGCACUUUGAGCCCUCGCUUGGUCCAGGGCCUGGUCAUCAUCUUGCCCACCCCUCAACCCCGUGCCCUCCUCACCUACUGCAGACCCAAAGCCAGCCGGGCGGGGCUGCUGCAGACACUCUCAGGGGGACACCCCCCACCCCCCACCGCCUGACUGACCCCUGCUGGGACAGAGGAAGGCGGGGGCCCACAGAGAGGGCAGUGAGCCCAGGCCAGCCUGGGGACCGUGGAGCGGUGACCCCCGUCCUCCCAGGAAGAGUGCCAGCCGUGCUGCGGCAAUGUGUGGGGCGGCCGCCUCGUGGGAGGGAUGCCUAGCCUCAGUUUACAAAGCCAUGAAUUCACAAAGCUUUGCUGGACUGGCCCGGAGGGGGCGCCACCAGAGACUAGAGAACUUCCCCGGAGCACGAUUGCCUUUUGAAGGGGUGUGGGGUAGAGUGCGAGCCUGGAAUGGUUUGCAAAGUGAUGUUUAGACCCUGUGGUUUGGGAGCGAUUCCCCUGCUGCCUUCCCCCAUCUCUCCUGGACCCAUCACCCCCCUGACCCCCAGCCCUGGGCCCUCUGGCCAUCCUGUCAGCUCUCGGCUUGGAUUGGGGGCCUCAGGUGGAGACUGCCUUUCACUGUCAAGGGAUGAAUCUACUCCCACCUCUCCCCUGGGGUGAUUCGGCUGCUGAGUCACCUGCCCAGCCCUGUGUAGCUGGAUAAGUUGUGCAAUAGAAGAGAGGAGGUGGUAGGCAGGUGGGGGAGGGGGCUGCCACACAGCCUGUCUGUCCCCUGUCACGGAAACAGUACGCACCUAUGCCCGGCACACCAAAGCCUCCUAAAUGGGGAAGCGGAUCCCUAUCCUCAGCCCGCACCCCCACAGCCAGCAUUAAUGCCCCACCGCAGACCCAGCGCAGCCGGCCAGAGCCACAGAUGCCCCAGAUCCCCCAGUGGCCCAGAUCCGGCCUGGGACAGCGGGUGGUGCCGCCCAGGCCGGGCCUCAUCUCAGGCCCUUGAGAACAAUGUGCGCACCAGAAGGUGCCCUAGGAGGCAACAGGAGUGAGGCCCCAGAGGAGCUCGCUUAGGCUGUGUGGGGCCUGCGCCCCCCCCUCCUCCUCCCCCUCCACCCCCACCGGGGAUUAGCAGCAUUAACUACAACUCACCCUCUCCCCAGUACCAGAAAGCUGCUGAUGCUUCCCGAUGAGUUGACUCUUACCCUCUCACCUCCAAUGGAAAGCUGAUGUGAACCUCAGUGGUGCCCACACUAUUUUUAAAACGCCAUUUUAUGCAAUAAACUGUUUUCUAGUGAGGCGCGCUGGCCCCGAACGGCGCUUUGCAAUGUACUGAAGGAACUGCUGCUGUGUGAUUUUUGAAUGAUUUUGCAGUAAAGACCUGAUCUUUCUCA